CCGGCGCACGGUGAGUAACGCGUAUGCAACUUACCUAUCAGAGGGGAUAACCCGGCGAAAGUCGGACUAAUACCGCAUGAAGCAGGGAUCCCGCAUGGGAAUAUUUGCUAAAGAUUCAUCGCUGAUAGAUAGGCAUGCGUUCCAUUAGGCAGUUGGCGGGGUAACGGCCCACCAAACCGACGAUGGAUAGGGGUUCUGAGAGGAAGGUCCCCCACAUUGGUACUGAGACACGGACCAA
RNAcentral lists this ribosomal RNA (238 nucleotides) under uncultured bacterium. Its description in RNAcentral is "partial 16S ribosomal RNA". It matches the Rfam family "Bacterial small subunit ribosomal RNA", at positions 95 to 334 of the family's 1533-position model. The record is from RNAcentral.